This 417-nucleotide ribosomal RNA is filed under the name uncultured bacterium. RNAcentral describes it as "bacterial SSU rRNA". It matches the Rfam family "Bacterial small subunit ribosomal RNA", at positions 36 to 500 of the family's 1533-position model. The record is from RNAcentral.
CUGGCGGCACGCCUAACACUGCAAGUCGAACGCAGUAGCAAUACUGAGUGGCAAACGGGUGAGUAUAAUGUGGGAAUCUGCCUUUUGGUUUGGAAUAACACGGGGAAACUUGUGCUAAUACCGAAUAAGCCCUUACGGGGAAAGUUUUAACGCCGAAAGAUGAGCCCGCACUUGAUUAGCUAGUUGGUAAGGUAAAAGCUUACCAAGGCAACGAUCAAUAGCUGUUCUUAGAGGAAGACCAGCCACAUUGGGACUGAGACACGGCCCAGACUCCUACGGGAGGCAGCAGUGGGGAAUCUUGCACAAUGGGGGAAACCCUGAUGCAGCGAUGCCGCGUGAGUGAAGAAGGCCCUUGGGUUGUAAAACUCUUUCGUCGGGGAAGAAAAUGACUGUACCCGAAUAAGAAGGUCCGGCUAA